ACGAUAAUGGCAAACCGUCGGCAACGGCGGGACGCAAAGCUUCCGGCCCGGUUAUCUCCGGGUAGCGGGGUUGUCGA
This 77-nucleotide non-coding RNA is filed under the name marine eukaryotic metagenome. RNAcentral describes it as "Cyclic di-GMP-I riboswitch". It matches the Rfam family "c-di-GMP-I riboswitch aptamer". Rfam says of the family: GEMM was predicted in a large-scale screen for bacterial structured RNA regulatory elements. Genes associated with GEMM are involved in a diverse array of functions, including chemotaxis regulation, signal transduction, secretion and chitin. The record is from RNAcentral.